GUAAUUUUUGAUUUUAUAAAAAUGGAUAAUUACCACGUGAAUCACUGUUUACAUUUACUCGGAAGAAAUUGUUCCGAGUAUUCCUUAUUUUGAUUGGUCAAUUUGUUACCUGGAUACAGGACGCUCUUAUAUAUUUCUUUGUUUCGGGAUUCGCGGUACAUUUAAUUUAGAUAGGUUUACUUGUCAUUUGAGAUGAAUUUCUCAAGUGGAGUUAAAGGAUUAGAUAUGGUUGAAUUUCAUGUUUCUACCAUACUUCCUUUGGGUUUUUUUUAGUUUAUGGUUGAUAUUAUUUCUUCCAAACUAAAAUUUGGAUUAUUUUAUUUUAUUUUCCGUAUUAUUAAAGAUUGUUUGGUUAAGAUGUAGUUAGGUUUAUUUAUAUUAAUAUGUACUAAUAUUUUUAUUUUUAUAUUGCAGGUAAGGGACUCUUUUCAGUGAGUAUUGUUCACACUGUUGGGUGCUGUUUCUUUUCAUAUGAGAUAUUGUUUCUUGUAUGGAGAAAAGUUUAUGUUCAGGGUUGAUAUUGUUUCUUCCUUGCUUGCUUUAAUUAUUUAGUUUUUGCUUGAUAUUAUUUCUUGCAUGCUAGAUUAAUAAGCUUAAAUUGUGUAUUGUUUAUAUGAUAGUUAAAAUUAAUCUGCUUAAUUCUUUGUUCAACACAGUUGUUUGUUUAUUUUUUGGCGGCCGUUGGC
Molecule: long non-coding RNA, 686 nt
Filed under: Mytilus galloprovincialis (Mediterranean mussel)
Lineage: Eukaryota; Metazoa; Mollusca; Bivalvia; Mytilida; Mytilidae
Source: RNAcentral